Molecule: ribosomal RNA, 414 nt
Filed under: uncultured microorganism
Description: bacterial SSU rRNA
Rfam family: Archaeal small subunit ribosomal RNA
Source: RNAcentral
CAGCCGCCGCGGUAAUACCGGCGGCCCGAGUGGCGGUCACUAUUAUUGGGCUUAAAGCGUCCGUAGCCGGGUUGGGAAGUCCUCCGGGAAAUCUGGCCGCUUAACGGUCAGAAUGCCGGAGGAUACUCCCAGCCUAGGGAGCGGGAGAGGCCGAGGGGAUUCCCGGAGUAGGGGGGAAAUCCUAUAAUCCCGGGAGGACCACCUGUGGCGAACGCGCUCGGCUGGAACGCGUCCGACGGUGAGGGACGAAGGCCAGGGGAGCAAACCGGAUUAGAUACCCGGGUAGUCCUGGCUGUAAACGAUGCGGACUUUGUGUCGGACAAGCUAUGAGCUUGUCCGGUGCCGGAGGGAAACCGUUAAGUCCGCCGCCUGGGGAGUACGGCCGCAAGGCUGAAACUUAAAGGAAUAGGCGGG